AUUAACAAAGAAUACAUUUGAUAAUUCAUGUCCUCCUAGAUUGCCGGGGAAGGAAGCAACUCAAAUAUUAUAUUGAUUGCACUAUACAUCCUCAGAUCAGAUAUCUCAUGACUACUCAAUUAAAGCAAGCAUGAGAAGUGCUAUUAUUAGUAUUCACAAGGAAGUAAUAAUGUAUUUGGGUCUUAUUCAAUUGCUAUGAUGAUCAAUACGAACAGACGGUUCUCACAAGCUAUAGUACUGAGUGAUUAAUAAUUAUUACUUAGCUGUUGGAUUAUCAUCUGAACCCUUGGAAAUGCUAUCAGAAGAUGAUCCUUUCCCUGUUGGG
Hibiscus syriacus is the source of this 325-nucleotide long non-coding RNA. RefSeq lists it as uncharacterized. NCBI's taxonomy places the organism in Eukaryota, Viridiplantae, Streptophyta, Magnoliopsida, Malvales, Malvaceae. The record is from RefSeq and is a predicted model, not a curated record. The transcript has 3 exons.